UGAUUUUUGAGUGGAGCCAAUGAAAAAUUACAAAGGGCACUUGUUUUGUAGCACAUAUACAUCUCUAGUGGAAUACACCUUUGAAAAAAUACAUGAUGUUUGUUCCAGUUAGUGGGUAUAAAUAAAUACAGUGCUCAAAGAAGAAGGGAAUAUUUGGAAAGAUAUAUUGUUUGUGAAUAAAAAGUGAGUUAAAGAAAAAAAAAUGAAAGGUGCAUUGAUGUGUUAUAGUGUUUAGGGGAGUUAGUCAUUGUUCCUAAAUUCAUCCUACCAGUCCCUUAACCUACAUUACAACCUUGAAAAAAGUCCUAACUGAUUUUAGCCCAGCUAGUCUAAAUUAGUAGAGAUUUACAUUACGGGCAAGCUUAUGGUACUCAUUGCAUGCAUGUGAUUUCUAUUUUGAGAGUGAGCGCUUUCAUUGAUAUAUGUAAGUAUAUGAUUUGAAUGUGCUGAGUAAAUUCCAAAUCUCUCUUGUUGGUGUGAUGGUGAGGGCAAGUGACUUGUGAUGACAAAGCAAUUCUUGAUUUCAUUUUAGAGUAUUUGAGGAGCUUAAAUUAUUGAAUGGCACUUGAGAUUCACAUUUUGAGGCGAGGAUUGUUCAUUGCUAGAAGUGACAUAUACACAUUGUUCUAGGUGUAAUGCGUUAGGGUAAAUGGUUGAGGAAGAGAUCUUUAGAGCUAGUUAUAAUAUGAUAGUUUGAUUGCUAGAGGACUAGCAAUAUAUUAAGUGUGGGGUGUUGAUAAUAGGUGAAAUCUUGAUGAUUUAAUUAUUGUUUAUGCUUUUACUUGAUUAUAUUCCACGUAUGUAUUGUGAUUAAUCGAUAAAUUACGGGCUUUAAUAUUAAAUUGUAUAUAUUUCAGGUUAAGAAGCCUAUACUAUGAACAAUAUAGAAUUGGAAUCACUUUGGAGCAAUACAAAUCCAUCGGGGCUAAUUAUGGUGGAAGAGCAAGAAAACAAAACCAAGAAUUAAGCAUAACUGGACUAGCACGGUCAAAUGCGCGGCCGCUCUAGUCCAUAUCCGGAAAAUGGUAGUUGAGGGUUAUUUUUGUAAUGUCCUCUUAACCCCACUUAAUUUAGAUAAAGCAAAAACUCCAUUAGUGGAGUAGAUCAGAUUUAGAUUGGAGAAAAUUAUUUUUAGAGAGAGAAAGUGAAGAGAAACUCAAUUCUUGAAGUGAAGAGGAGAAGAAGAUACAAUCUUGAAGCAAG
This 1203-nucleotide long non-coding RNA is filed under the name Nicotiana benthamiana. Its description in RNAcentral is "long non-coding RNA (NBEN_LNC015490)". Lineage: Eukaryota; Viridiplantae; Streptophyta; Magnoliopsida; Solanales; Solanaceae. The record is from RNAcentral.